AGGUAUACAUCUAUCCAUCCCUUUUUUUACUAAAUACCCCAAUAUCUAAUCACAAAUUAUUACUGACCAAUGAAUGAAUUACAUAAGUAAAAUAGAAAAUCAAAAAGCUAUCCUAUAGGGAGCCUUCCAUUUAGGCCAGGUUUCCCAAAGCCUCCAAUUGUCUCAUAAGCCUCAAUUCCAUAGACAAAAUCAGAGUAUAGGUGCAUCAAAGUUUCCCAAGGAUCUCAAGGAUCUCGAAAAAUGCUUACACCUAGACAUAGUAACCAAAGAAUUAAACAAGUGAAGUGUGGAAAGGCCAUCCUCAGUAUGCGCCAGAGUUCAGAGGGUUCUCAAAAGAAUCCCAAGGCAACACAUACUAGAGGGGGCAGAACUUAUGGACUAAGAGUAAAGUGAAAAGUGAAGGAUACAAGUUGAAAAGAUUUUAGUAAGACUGUACUUUACAAAAGUUGCUUUUGAAAGUAAUUCAGUAAAGCAACAAAAAUUGUUUUAAAAAGAGAUUGGAGUAGUUAAAAAAGUUCAAACACCUUAGGAUAGGAUCAUACACAUCUAGUUCAUAAAACCAAGUGAAUUUAGUAGUCACACACACUGGUCAAGGGGUUUAGGAUACAAAGAACAUUUGGAUGCAAACACAUAACCCAACAAAGGUCUUAUGACUUGUUUAGACAUGCUUAGAGAUAGUUGACACUGGCAUAGUCACAGAACUAGUCAUGAAGAACACAAACACAUAGAGGGGUGAUAGGGAUUUGGGGAUCUAUGGGAUAUAGGAUGGUAAGUAACAAUAAGUAAGAGACAAUUGGUAAGGCAUGUUCAUAAACACACAUAAAGGGGAAUGUACUAAUCUAUAGGAAGGGGAAGACAUAAUAACAUGCUGAUAAUACUACAAAUUUCACAACAUAACCACAAAUAGAAGCAAACUAGAAACAAGAGAAACUAAAACAAUAGUAGAAGCAUGUUGUUGUUGGAACUUUGAAUUGAAACUAGGACAUACCGGUGAAGAGGAGAAUAAGCAGAAUAAAAGAACAAAAUAGCAUAAUUGGUUAGCCUUGGCUUGCAGCUGGCUAACUGUCGCUAAUAGCACAAGAGAGAUGGCAGAGAUUUUUUAGUAUAAGAGAUAGUUUUUGAACCCAAGUGUUCGUGUCUUGUGCUAAUGAAAGACUAGAGUACUUAUAAUUGAAAAUAGGUAGUAAAAUAAGAUAAGAAUCAUAGUAGCAUGGUAACUAUGGAACUUAGAAUCAGUCAGUCAACAAUCAAGGCAAGUACUCCCUUAAAUUAAGGGAGUUACUUUAAACGGUAAGAAUCAGUAACAUAUAAGGCAAGAAAAAAUCAGCAACUGACUAGUAAGGAAAGAAUCAUGGUUCAAUAAGCAUAUGGUAGCCAAUUAGGACCAAGUUCAGCAAACUCCAAUUAAGGAAAGGAUUCAGUCAAAAUAAAAUAUGACAUCAAAUAAGGUAGGGAAUCAGUCAAUUUAAUUAGACGAGGUAGAAUUUUAAGGUUUUAAUAGAAAAUAUUUCAAUCAAACCAUCUAUUAAGGAAAUCAAAAUUAAUCAAGAGGGAGUAAUGACUAUAUACUUCAACAUACAAAUAUAGAAGAUCAAACAAACAUAGCAAACAUGUAAGAUCAGCAAUAUUGACAGAAAGAGGCAAGAGAUGAACAAUCAAGAUGAAUAUAAUCAUAUAGGGGGUGAUAUAAAUAGACUACGGACUCAGUAAAACCCAUUAAUCAAUUAGUCAUGCUAAAUACAUAGCCAAAGCAAAGAAGCUAUAAAGAAAUUAGGGAUUUUAACAGAGGCGAGUUGAAAAAGUAGUAAGAACAUAGAACCAUUCAAGAUUUGCAAGGAAAAAGGUUUAAACAUAAAGAAACAGUUUAAACAAGUGUAGAAGAAACAUUGAGAAACCCUAAUUUUAAAGAAAGUAAAAAAGGCUUAAAGUUGAUGAUUUUUUCAAAAAAAGUUUAAGAAUAGUGUAGAACAUAGAAAGAAACAGGCUUGCAUCGUUAAAAAAAGCACAUAUCUGAGAGAUAUAAAUGAAAGUUAGGGUUUCAAAGGAAACCAAAUAAAAACGGAAGAACCUGCCAUAAACUUCAAAGAUCGUAACAAGUAUUGUGUGAUUUUGCCCAAAAUCACACCGGAGAAGCCAUGAACAACCAAAACAGAAAUCAUAGAUACAAAUCUGCGUGGACCAGGGCCUUUUAAGGCUUCAGAGAUGAUGAGUGAGGCGAUGGAGAAACCAUUGGAGGCUCUGGGUUGACAGGGGGGUCGCCGUAUAUGACCGGAGAAGGAGGCAAAGAUUGAAGGGGAUUAGUAUUAGGUUGAGAGAAGAGAGGAGAUGAGAGAGUUUGUGGGCGGCGGAAUCUCAAAAAUAAAAUAGGGUUAGGGUCUGUAGGAUUAAAAAAGGAAAGAGCUCAUUUGCACUGUUGAUCUCGAAAAUUAACGGUCAGGAUUUGACCGGGUAGAUGAUUUUCGGGUUUGCGUAGGAGUUUAUAGGCCAGUAUCGGGUUAAUUUGAUAGGAAGUUGGGUUUGGGAGUGGGUUCAAAUUAGGCUAGAAUUGAAAGCCAAAUCUGGCUAUGAAUUGAAUAGCCAAUUUUCCUUAUUUUAAUUUAUAAAGAAUAGUAAGUAAUUUCUGGAAAAUAAAUUAAUAUGCCAAAAUGAUUCAAAAUAUGUAAUUAUCAUAUUAGAAUAUAGGGACCAAUUUUAUGCACAUAAAAGGUAAUUAUACCUUAAAAGGGAUAAUAUUGCAAUUAUAUUAUAUUUAACUUAAAAAUACUAAAUGUAAUUAUAAAAAUGUACGAAAAAUAUAUUAGCCAUAUUUUGGCAUAAGUAUUAAAUUGAAAUGAAUAUAUCAUCAUAACAAUAAUUUUGGAAAUAAUUAUUGGGAAUUGUAUGAAUAAAAAGGGAGAAAUAAAUUAAUUUAAACCCUUAAAAUUAUGAAACAAAUUAUAAAACCUUGUGCAUGCUUAUAUAUGAUAUAUAUGCUAUUUUGAAGAUAUUUAUGCAUAUUUAGAAUAUAUAGGGAAAAAUUGGAUAUCAACAUUGCUUUCCUUGAAUCACAGGGAUAUUACAUGAAACAUCUUCCGUGGCAACACCCUAGCAGAAUGGGGUGGUUGAGAGAAAGCGUAGGCGCCUUUUAGAGGUUGCAAGGGGUAUAUUUAUUUAGUCUAAGUUCCCUAUUCAAUACUGGGGAGAAUAUGUUCUAACAGCCACUAAUCUCAUUAACAGAAUACCUUCUAUAGUUUUGAAAGGAAAAACACCUUAUGAGGUUCUAUUUGGGAGAUCAUCUAACUAUGACUCACUUAGAUCUUUUGGAUGUCUAUGUUAUGCAUCUACUUUGACUCAUAAUAGGAGUAAGUUUUAGCCAAGAGCUAAGAACUGUGUAUUCUUGGGCCAGGCACUAGAUAAAAAGGGUUAUAAAGUUUUGGAAAUUGAAACAAGAAAAGUGUUUAUUUCUAGGGAUGUCAAGCUCUAUAAAUAUCAUUUUUCAUUCACUUUGUCAACCAUAAAACCUCAGCCUUUGUUUUUCCCUUCUACCAUAUCAUCUGACAAUCAACCAUCUAUUCAACCACCUAUCACCAUUAUGUCUACACCUGAAGCAGUUUCAGCUGACUACCCUUUAUUUUUUACCCCUAGCAGGACAUCUGGGAUAGCGAUCAAACCACUAACUAUCCUUAUCCCUCUUUCCCCUUGCUAAGCUUUGGCCUAUCCAACUUACCACAUCCUUCACUUAAUACAUCAUCAACCUAUGAACCUAUCACUCUCAAUCCUCAUAUCCCAUCCGCUCUUCACACUUUUCACAUUCCACUAUCUCCAAUCAGAAAAUCUGAUAGGAUUACUCAAAAAUCAGCAUACCUCAAUGAUUAUGUGUGCAACAUCAUAUUCCUCACUAACCUCAACUCCUCAUGUUUCACUCAGUCAUUUAAAACUACUACUUUCUCCUUUGGAUCUCUCACACUAAAUAAUCAAAAUGUUCUAAAGAGUGUGUCCACCAUUUCAAAACCAACAAGCUAUUAUGAAGCUUGUAAGGAGGCACAUUGGAGAAAGGCAAUGGAGGCAGAAAUUGCAGCUCUAGAGCUGAAUCAUGUUUGGAAUAUGGUAACCUUACCACCAGGCAAGAAGGUCUUAACAUACAAGUGGGUUUACAAAGUUAAACAUAAGUUAGAGGGUACUAUAAAAAGUCUGAACGCCAAGUUGGUGGUGAGGGGGGACAUACAAAAUUGAAGGAAUUAACUACGUAUAGACAUUUUCUCCUGUAGUAAAAAUGACCACAAUUAGAUGUCUCUUAACAAUAGAUGUAAUGUGAACAAUUCAUUUUAUUAUGGAGACUUGCCAGAAGAAGUCUACAUGAAAUUUCAUGCUGGUUUUUCCCUCCUAAUUCUACUAAAGUGUGUUUACUGAGAAAAUUAUUAUAUGGUUUAAAGCAAGGCUCUAAGUUAGUGGUAUGCAAGGCUUGCUGAGGUACUAAGCUACAAAGGUUAUUCAACUUUUCUCAAUGACCAUUCAUUGUUCUACAAACAAUCUGGGGAUUUAAUUUCUACCAUAGCAGUCUAUGUCGAUGAUGUUUUGCUUAUUGGCAUUUAUAUUGAAGGAAACAAUCAAAUUUUAACUUUUCUCAAUACAUAAUUUAAGGUCAAACAUUUAGGAUACACUCAUUAUUUCCUAAGAAUAAAAAUUCUUUGAGUAAAACAAGGGUUCGUUAUUUUUCAAAGGCAAUUUACCUUGGAUCCUUUGAAGGAACUUGAUUACUCUGGCUCGGCAGUGUCUUCACCACUUGACCCUUAUUCCAAGCUCUGCGCUGAUGUUGGGCCUCUUCGUUCAGAUCCCAGCCUUUACAGGUAUUUGGUAGACAAACUUAAUUACCUCACAAAUACCCGUCCUGACUUAUAAUUUGUUGUGCUUUGCCUUAGUCAAUUCAUGCAAAGGCCUGCCUUUCUCAUUUCACUGCUGGCUUGCGUGUUCUACGCUAUUUGUCUGCAGAUCCUUCACAAGGAAUCUUUCUAUCCCCAUGCCCUUUAUUUAAUUAGAUUGCUUUUUGUGAAGCCGAUCGAGCGGAUUGCAAAGACUCUAGGAGGUCUAUCAGUGGAUUUUUCAUCAUGCUUGGCAGAGCUCCAAUCUCCUAGAAAUAGAAAAGGCAGACGUCAAUAUCACUUUCAUCUGCAGAGGCAAAAUAUAGGUCUAUAUUGCAGAAAUUACCUGGUUGGUAUGCCUUCUUGCAGAUCUAUCUUCUCCACCUUCUUUUCCUAUUCUAAUUUAUUCUGAAGCCAAGAAGCGAUUGCCUGUAACUCUGUCUUUCACGAGCGAAUCAAGCAUAUGGAGCUCGAUUGCCAUAUAAUUUGCCAACAAUAUUUCUCAGGUUUUAUAACCCUUUCUUUCGUCCCACCGCAGCAACAACUCGCCAACCUUUUCAUCAAACCUCUAUGGAGAGCUUCACAUAAUCUAAUCUUAUACAAGUUGGGGGUACAAUUUCUCUCCUCCAACUUGAGGGGGUGUGAGAAGAAGGAAGGCUUAUAGAUUUUGAUCAAUGAAAGAAAGAAAGGGAAAGAGCUGAGUUUCAG
Molecule: long non-coding RNA, 5546 nt
Filed under: Nicotiana benthamiana
Lineage: Eukaryota; Viridiplantae; Streptophyta; Magnoliopsida; Solanales; Solanaceae
Description: long non-coding RNA (NBEN_LNC027797)
Source: RNAcentral